UGUCAGCAGCCGCGGUAAUACGGAGGAUGCGAGCGUUAUCCGGAUUCAUUGGGUUUAAAGGGUGCGUAGGCGGACUAUUAAGUCAGUGGUGAAAUCCUGCAGCUUAACUGCAGAACUGCCAUUGAUACUGAUAGCCUUGAGUUUGGUUAAGGUAGGCGGAAUGUGUAAUGUAGCGGUGAAAUGCUUAGAUAUUACACAGAACACCAAUUGCGUAGGCAGCUUACUGAGCCGACACUGACGCUGAGGCACGAAAGCGUGGGGAUCGAACAGGAUUAGAUACCCUGGUAGUCCACGCCGUAAACGAUGAUUACUCGCUGUUGGCGAUACACUGUCAGCGGCUAAGCAAAAGCAAUAAGUAAUCCACCUGGGGAGUACGGCCGCAAGGUUGAAACUCAAAGAAAUUGGCGG
Molecule: ribosomal RNA, 408 nt
Filed under: uncultured Bacteroidota bacterium
Lineage: Bacteria; Pseudomonadati; Bacteroidota
Description: bacterial SSU rRNA
Rfam family: Bacterial small subunit ribosomal RNA
Source: RNAcentral